RNAcentral lists this ribosomal RNA (1403 nucleotides) under Acinetobacter sp. RNAcentral describes it as "bacterial SSU rRNA". It matches the Rfam family "Bacterial small subunit ribosomal RNA". Lineage: Bacteria; Pseudomonadati; Pseudomonadota; Gammaproteobacteria; Moraxellales; Moraxellaceae. The record is from RNAcentral.
CACAUGCAAGUCGAGCGGAGUGAUGGUGCUUGCACUAUCACUUAGCGGCGGACGGGUGAGUAAUGCUUAGGAAUCUGCCAUUUAGUGGGGGACAACAUUCCGAAAGGAAUGCUAAUACCGCAUACGUCCUACGGGAGAAAGCAGGGGAUCUUCGGACCUUGCGCUAAAUGAUGAGCCUAAGUCGGAUUAGCUAGUUGGUGGGGUAAAGGCCUACCAAGGCGACGAUCUGUAGCGGGUCUGAGAGGAUGAUCCGCCACACUGGGACUGAGACACGGCCCAGACUCCUACGGGAGGCAGCAGUGGGGAAUAUUGGACAAUGGGCGGAAGCCUGAUCCAGCCAUGCCGCGUGUGUGAAGAAGGCCUUUUGGUUGUAAAGCACUUUAAGCGAGGAGGAGGCUACUCUAGUUAAUACCUAGAGAUAGUGGACGUUACUCGCAGAAUAAGCACCGGCUAACUCUGUGCCAGCAGCCGCGGUAAUACAGAGGGUGCGAGCGUUAAUCGGAUUUACUGGGCGUAAAGCGUGCGUAGGCGGCUGAUUAAGUCGGAUGUGAAAUCCCUGAGCUUAACUUAGGAAUUGCAUUCGAUACUGGUCAGCUAGAGUAUGGGAGAGGAUGGUAGAAUUCCAGGUGUAGCGGUGAAAUGCGUAGAGAUCUGGAGGAAUACCGAUGGCGAAGGCAGCCAUCUGGCCUAAUACUGACGCUGAGGUACGAAAGCAUGGGGAGCAAACAGGAUUAGAUACCCUGGUAGUCCAUGCCGUAAACGAUGUCUACUAGCCGUUGGGGCCUUUGAGGCUUUAGUGGCGCAGCUAACGCGAUAAGUAGACCGCCUGGGGAGUACGGUCGCAAGACUAAAACUCAAAUGAAUUGACGGGGGCCCGCACAAGCGGUGGAGCAUGUGGUUUAAUUCGAUGCAACGCGAAAAACCUUACCUGGUCUUGACAUAGUAAGAACUUUCCAGAGAUGGAUUGGUGCCUUCGGGAACUUACAUACAGGUGCUGCAUGGCUGUCGUCAGCUCGUGUCGUGAGAUGUUGGGUUAAGUCCCGCAACGAGCGCAACCCUUUUCCUUAUUUGCCAGCGGGUUAAGCCGGGAACUUUAAGGAUACUGCCGGUGACAAACCGGAGGAAGGUGGGGAUGACGUCAGGUCAUCAUGGCCCUUAUGGGUAGGGCUACACACGUCAUACAAUGGCCGGGACAGAGGGCUGCCAACCCGCGAGGGGGAGCUAAUCCCAGAAACCCGGUCGUAGUCCGGAUCGCAGUCUGCAACUCGACUGCGUGAAGUCGGAAUCGCUAGUAAUCGCGGAUCAGCUUGCCGCGGUGAAUACGUUCCCGGGUCUUGUACACACCGCCCGUCACACCAUGGGAGCGGGUUCUGCCAGAAGUAGGUAGUCUAACCGCAAGGAGG